GUCCAGCUGACGAGUCCCAAAUAGGACGAAACGUACGUUUUGAAU
This 45-nucleotide non-coding RNA is filed under the name Schistosoma haematobium. Lineage: Eukaryota; Metazoa; Platyhelminthes; Trematoda; Strigeidida; Schistosomatidae. The record is from RNAcentral.